RNAcentral lists this ribosomal RNA (385 nucleotides) under Theileria buffeli. Its description in RNAcentral is "SSU rRNA". It matches the Rfam family "Eukaryotic small subunit ribosomal RNA", at positions 475 to 900 of the family's 1831-position model. The record is from RNAcentral. Lineage: Eukaryota; Apicomplexa; Aconoidasida; Piroplasmida; Theileriidae.
AAAUAACAAUACGGGGCUUAAUGUCUUGUAAUUGGAAUGAUGGGAAUUUAAACCUCUUCCAGAGUAUCAAUUGGAGGGCAAGUCUGGUGCCAGCAGCCGCGGUAAUUCCAGCUCCAAUAGCGUAUAUUAAAAUUGUUGCAGUUAAAAAGCUCGUAGUUGAAUUUCUGCUGCAUUACAUAUCUCUUGUUUGAGUUUGUUUUUGUGGCUUAUUUCGGUUUGAUUUUUUCUUUCCGGAUGAUUACUUUGAGAAAAUUAGAGUGCUCAAAGCAGGCUUUUGCCUUGAAUAGUUUAGCAUGGAAUAAUAAAGUAGGACUUUGGUUCUAUUUUGUUGGUUUUAGGUACCAAAGUAAUGGUUAAUAGGAACAGUUGGGGGCAUUCGUAUUUA